AAUCACAAUCAGGCUCCGAGACUACAUUGUUUCAAAUUUAAAAGUAAUUAAUAAUAGAUAGCAAUUUAACAGAAUUAAACUUUCAGAAGUAAAUUGUUACUUUGCUAUACCUUGUAAAUUACCCUUUUCCUUCUUAGAAAUUACCGGAAUUUCGGCCUGCUUAUGUCAAUCUAAGGCCCUGUUGCAAUCCCACUAAUGCCAGACCAUCUACUUUGAAUCCCACUAAUACAACUAGCCUGAAGCAAAUACUCUUCAAAACAACCCUCAUGCACAGGUC
Molecule: unclassified non-coding RNA, 277 nt
Filed under: Hevea brasiliensis (rubber tree)
Lineage: Eukaryota; Viridiplantae; Streptophyta; Magnoliopsida; Malpighiales; Euphorbiaceae
Source: RNAcentral